RNAcentral lists this ribosomal RNA (489 nucleotides) under uncultured bacterium. Its description in RNAcentral is "bacterial SSU rRNA". It matches the Rfam family "Bacterial small subunit ribosomal RNA", at positions 28 to 499 of the family's 1533-position model. The record is from RNAcentral.
GACGAACGCUGGCGGCGUGCCUAAUACAUGCAAGUUGAGCGCUGAAGGUUGGUACUUGUACCGACUGGAUGAGCAGCGAACGGGUGAGUAACGCGUGGGGAAUCUGCCUUUGAGCGGGGGACAACAUUUGGAAACGAAUGCUAAUACCGCAUAAAAACUUUAAACACAAGUUUUAAGUUUGAAAGAUGCAAUUGCAUCACUCAAAGAUGAUCCCGCGUUGUAUUAGCUAGUUGGUGAGGUAAAGGCUCACCAAGGCGAUGAUACAUAGCCGACCUGAGAGGGUGAUCGGCCACAUUGGGACUGAGACACGGCCCAAACUCCUACGGGAGGCAGCAGUAGGGAAUCUUCGGCAAUGGACGAAAGUCUGACCGAGCAACGCCGCGUGAGUGAAGAAGGUUUUCGGAUCGUAAAACUCUGUUGGUAGAGAAGAACGUUGGUGAGAGUGGAAAGCUCAUCAAGUGACGGUAACUACCCAGAAAGGGACGGCUA